AGGGCCAAAGCUUAAUUACUAUUCCCUGUCCUUUUCACCCUUACAGGUCAUGGCAAACUCGCCAGCAUGCCAGUUGGUGGAGCUGUAGCAGUCUCAGCUGCUGCAGGUUCUGCUGCUCCUGCUGCUAGCACUGCUCCUGCUGCUGCUGAGGAGAAGAAAGAAGAGAAGAAAGAGGAGUCUGAGGAAUCGGAUGAUGACAUGGGAUUUGGCCUAUUUGACUAAACUUUGCUACAGAAGUUAUUAAAUCUUUUUGUUUAAAAUGGA
This is a non-coding RNA of Pelodiscus sinensis (Chinese soft-shelled turtle), 264 nucleotides long. The record is from RefSeq and is a predicted model, not a curated record. Lineage: Eukaryota; Metazoa; Chordata; Testudines; Trionychidae.